UCGUGGCUCAGCCCUGUAAAGCAUGGAAACUGAUAACUUGAGUAGUGGAGAGGAAAGUGGAAUUCCUAGUGUAGUGGUGAAAUACGUAGAUAUUAGGAGGAAUGUCAGUAGCGAAGGCGAUUUCUGGACACAAACUGAUGCUGAGGUACGAAAGCGUGGGGAGCAAACAGGAUUAUAUAACUUGGUAGUGCAAUCCGUAAACGAUGAAUGUUAGGCGUUGGGGGUCAAACCUCGGUGCGGAAGUUAAUACAUUAAGCAUUCCGCCUGGGGAGUACGCACGCAAGUGUGAAACUCAACGGAAUUGACGGGGACCCGCACAAGCAGCGGAGCACGUGGUUUAAUUAGAUGCAACGCGCAGAACCUUUCCAGGGCUUGACAUGCGGGUGAAAGGUAUAGAGAUAUACCCCUCUCUUUAUGAGACAUCCAUACAGUUGGUGCAUGGUUGUCGUCAGCUAGCGUCGUGAGAUGUUGGGUUAAGUCCUGCAACGAGCGCAACCCCUAUAUUUAGUUACCAGCCAAUAAUGUCGGGGACUCUAAGUAGACUCCCGAUGACAAAUCGGAGGAAGGUGGGGAUGACGUCAAAUCAUCAUGCCCUUUAUGUCCUGGGCUACACACGUGCUACAAUGGUUGGUACAGAGGGAAGCUAUAUAGUGAUAUAAUGCAAAACUCCAAAGCCAAUCCCAGUUUGGAUUGUAGGCUGCAACUAGCGUACACGAAGUCGGAGUUUCUAGUAAUCGCGGAUCAGAACGUCGCGGUGAAUCCGUUCCCGGGUCUUGUACACACCCCCCGUCACACCAUGGGAGUUGAUAAUACCCGAAGCCUGUGACCCCCUGAGGAGCAGUGGAAGGUAGGAUUGAUGACUG
Molecule: ribosomal RNA, 863 nt
Filed under: uncultured bacterium
Lineage: Bacteria
Description: bacterial SSU rRNA
Rfam family: Bacterial small subunit ribosomal RNA
Source: RNAcentral